RNAcentral lists this ribosomal RNA (1023 nucleotides) under Salmonella enterica. Its description in RNAcentral is "partial 23S ribosomal RNA". It matches the Rfam family "Bacterial large subunit ribosomal RNA", at positions 335 to 1358 of the family's 2925-position model. Lineage: Bacteria; Pseudomonadati; Pseudomonadota; Gammaproteobacteria; Enterobacterales; Enterobacteriaceae. The record is from RNAcentral.
GAAGCGUCUGGAAAGGCGCGCGAUACAGGGUGACAGCCCCGUACACAAAAGCGCAUGUGCUGUGAGCUCGAUGAGUAGGGCGGGACACGUGGUAUCCUGUCUGAAUAUGGGGGGACCAUCCUCCAAGGCUAAAUACUCCUGACUGACCGAUAGUGAACCAGUACCGUGAGGGAAAGGCGAAAAGAACCCCGGCGAGGGGAGUGAAAAAGAACCUGAAACCGUGUACGUACAAGCAGUGGGAGCACAGGUUUACCUGUGUGACUGCGUACCUUUUGUAUAAUGGGUCAGCGACUUAUAUUCUGUAGCAAGGUUAACCGAAUAGGGGAGCCGGAGGGAAACCGAGUCUUAAUUGGGCGUUAAGUUGCAGGGUAUAGACCCGAAACCCGGUGAUCUAGCCAUGGGCAGGUUGAAGGUUGGGUAACACUAACUGGAGGACCGAACCGACUAAUGUUGAAAAAUUAGCGGAUGACCUGUGGCUGGGGGUGAAAGGCCAAUCAAACCGGGAGAUAGCUGGUUCUCCCCGAAAGCUAUUUAGGUAGCGCCUCGUGAAUUCAUCUCCGGGGGUAGAGCACUGUUUCGGCUAGGGGGCCAUCCCGGCUUACCAACCCGAUGCAAACUGCGAAUACCGGAGAAUGUUAUCACGGGAGACACACGGCGGGUGCUAACGUCCGUCGUGAAGAGGGAAACAACCCAGACCGCCAGCUAAGGUCCCAAAGUCAUGGUUAAGUGGGAAACGAUGUGGGAAGGCCCAGACAGCCAGGAUGUUGGCUUAGAAGCAGCCAUCAUUUAAAGAAAGCGUAAUAGCUCACUGGUCGAGUCGGCCUGCGCGGAAGAUGUAACGGGGCUAAACCAUGCACCGAAGCUGCGGCAGCGACGCUUAUGCGUUGUUGGGUAGGGGAGCGUUCUGUAAGCCUGUGAAGGUGGCCUGUGAGGGUUGCUGGAGGUAUCAGAAGUGCGAAUGCUGACAUAAGUAACGAUAAAGCGGGUGAAAAGCCCGCUCGCCGGAAGACCAAGGGUUCCUGU